This is a non-coding RNA of Phalacrocorax carbo (great cormorant), 3937 nucleotides long. The record is from RefSeq and is a predicted model, not a curated record. NCBI's taxonomy places the organism in Eukaryota, Metazoa, Chordata, Aves, Suliformes, Phalacrocoracidae.
UUGGCUACGGCUUCUCCAAAAGCAGGUAAAAAAAAUACCAGGGUUAUGCUGAGGGAAAGAAAGGGCAGGAGAAAGCAGGGUGGCCCAGUCCAUUCAAUCCCAUAAGUGCCCUCGGACUAAUUGGUGUAUGUGGGCACUUAUUACGAGCUGGGACCCUAGGGAAGGUACAAUUCCAGCAGCUGGGAAGAGUGAACACAAAAUGGGGCUUGCAGAAAGAGACCAUGACACUAGUACAGGGCAUCUAGCGCUGCACAGCAAGGCAGAAAGUGGUAAUAUUGAGCUAUUUCAACAAAAAGCACAACACACUGGGAUUAACAGAAGCCGUGAACUUCACUGGGAGUCUAAAGGGAGGGUUUGCUCUAAGAUCUAGUAGGAAGGAUGUGACCUAAAAUGGUACUGUAAAAAUAGAUGAGGCUCUAAUGUGCUCUAGGGCUUGCUGAGGAUGUGGAAACAUUUUUAUUACUUAUCUGAUUUUGGACAUGUGUGGGAGAGAAAGAGCUACAAUAAUUGCAAAACACAUAGGAUGGUAAGAAAACCUUACCAGUGGGGGCAAUGAACUUGGACAGCUCUGCCCUUUUAGGAGAAAUAAGAGGGGUUAAUAUGUAAAAAUAAAGCAUAAGUUCAUUGACUUUGGGAGGAUUUUCUUGAUGGGCAAAUUUUUUAACAGGUAUUUGAAAAGGUUGUCCAAAAAAGCGCAAACAGUACAUUUUUCUAAUCAGCCCAUCUUCCCAGUCCAUUCAUCCUUGCUUUCUGGGCAGAGAGGGUGUUCAUACACCCACCACUUGUAGUUAAAAUCCUUGAGCUACAAUCUGCGGGAGCUGCCUGAGAGCGGAGGGAGUGAAACCUGGGUCAGUGAGGUGGAGCGGUGCCCGCUGUGUCAGGGCAGGAGCAGGUGAAAGAGCUGACACUUGUGAUGCCAUUGCAGCUGCAGAAAGCAACUCUUCUCUGCUUGAAACUGAGGAAACGCAAACACAAUAUGAACCUGUCCAAGACGUGACCAAUAUUGCUGGUACUUGCUGGGAACCGAUGCUGGCCAGGAGGCAGCAAAGAAAUUUGUGGAGUUUUAUGCGAGCUGGUGUUGGUUUCAAGCCUGUCACUGUCAUGUGCAGCCCUCUGGGUCCCCAGAAGGCUGGUAGUGAUUGGCUUUUUGAGGGUGCAUUGGCAAAAAGGGGCUCAAAAUAACGGGGGUCACCAGGUACCACUCAGGGGUGCCUGCGGGGGGGGGCCUGACACAGGUGGCAGCACUGGGGGCACCUCAGCGUGUGCUGGGGGGAGGGAGCACCGUGUGUUGGGGAACCCUCACGGUAUGUGGGGGCUCCCAAACCGCGGGUUGGGGGGGUCCCUGGGGUCCCCCCGCUCCCCCCGCUCCCCCCCCCCCCCCGAGGGCUCAGCACUCACCCCUUGCUCACCGUGCCACCGCCAUCUUGUUUACCGGCGGUUGCCAUGGCGACGUCGGGGGCGCUGCGAUUGGCUCAGCCCUGGUCACGUGGAGGGCGAGGCAGCCCCAGAGGACUACAUAUCCCAGCAUGCACCGCUCCUGCCCCCCUCGGGGGUACCCCGGCUAUGGCGGGAGGGCGGCAGGUUGACCCCGGCCAGAACCCCGCUGUGGGGUGGGGAUAAGCUGGGGGAAGCCCCCUCCAUCUGUGGUACGAGGGGGGAGGCCCAGGCUGCCAGUAGGCUUGGCUCCAUGCGGCCGCCAGCCAGGCCGAACCGCUCCCUGCCUGUCCUCUGCCCUGCCCACCUGCCUGCAAAAUGGUGCUUUUCCAACCUCUGUUCGCUUCAGCACUUGGAAGAGGCUGCCCAGAGAGGUGGUCGAGUCACCAUCCCUGGGGUGUUCAAAAAACAUGCAGACGUGGCACUUGGGGACACGGUUUAGGAGGCCUUGGGGGUGUUGGGUCGGUGGUUGGACUUGAUCUUAGAGGUCUUUUCCAACCUUAAUGAUUCUACGAAUCCGUGAUUCGGAGUGUUUCAGACGUCUCACGGUGCUGGGGUGGGACGUGGUGCAGCAGCACUACACGCAGCCACGCUUCCUCUCCUCAGCACUCCUCUGCAUGCCCUUAGCUUCAGCUCAUAGACACGGUCUGUAGCACAGCCUGACCCGAGGCAUCACACACUGUACGGCUGCUCCCAUUUUUCCUCAACUGCUUCUCCUGUCUCUGUUUCCUAGCAAUGGUUUCCUUCACACGGGCACUACCACCCUCUCGUUUUGCCUCGCUGAUGCUUUGAACUCAACCCAGCGCUUGCCCCUGCAAUGGCUGCACGCCACAUCCAGAGAGCCUUCCCUGCACAUCCCCCGUCCCGUCCGCCGCUGCUGUGCUGCUCCGCUCUCCAGAAAGCUCAGCCUCACCAGCUGGAGAGGAGCAGGAGAGGCUAAUUUUUAGCACCUUUUAUAGGAUGCUGGCUGUCCACAAGAGACUUUCAUUUUGACAUUUCUAUGAAGAGCAAAAAUUUACUAAAUUUGGUGAAGCUUUGCUGCAGAGGAGCCUUCAGCACUGGGUGGAGGCUGGCAGUGGCCUCGCUGCGCUGUGAUGCACUUCACCAACACAAAACCAGACAACAGGUGUAUGUGCUUGGUGUAUUUUGGUAGCUUUACUUAUUUCAAAAUGUCUUAAAAUAACCAGAUCCCUUUUGUUUCCUGCUGCUGCAGUUGAGUGAGUGGGGGAGCUCAGAGGUCUGCUGUGAAGAGAUGGAUGUCGGGGGGCUGGAAGGAAGCAAUUCCCUGAUCCAUUACCUGGAUCAGACUACCCCAGGCUUGUAACUGAAAUUCAGAGGGACAGCUUGGGCCCAGCUUCCGCCCUAAGUUGCAGGGAAGGAGGUUUGUUACACGGCGCAAUGCAGAGACCUUGUUGAAAUGUUGGCUGCAAUUUGCAAACCCUUCCAGUGAACUGGGAGUGGGGUUUAACCCCUAACCACUACUAGUUCUUCAUGGGUGCAGGGCACGGGACAGGGAGUAUACGGGGAGAAGCAAGCUCAGCCUGGGGGCGUUUCAUGCUGCAGGUGGUAUUCUGUGAUGUGGGAAACAGCAGGGUGAGGGGCUUGCUGCCUUUGUUCAGAGAAGUGGCUAGGGCAUCCCAUUUGGAGCUGGUUGUGCAGCCCUGCCAGGGAACAGGGGUAACACGUGCCGGGCGAUGUAGGUCAACAGCUCUGGAGAAGUGAGGCUGAAAGGGCUGUAUGGUGUCUUCCCCACCUGACAGUCCCCCAUGCCAUGUCUUGCACCUCCUCCCUCGCAGCAUCAGCAGUGGAUGUGGCUUCCCCAAAGCGCCCUGGGUUUAAACAACGGUUUUGGGUGGCGGUGCCAGUGCAGGGAAGGAAGGCGUGAUUGGUGAAACAGGGCCACCGCUGUGCUUAAAGCCUUCGACCACAAUCGCUGCAAGCAGAUGAGGAAGCGUCACGGCACACCGUGAGCUGAGACCCGAUCAUGCAGGCCCUCCAGCGUGUCCACCUGCUCCUCCUGCUCACCCUGCUUGUCCUCUGCAUGCCCCUCAGCCAGGCACAGAAGACAGAUGCAGCCACGACCACCUUCCACGCCACUGUGAACCCCCCUGCAGCCAGCCUGAGCCCUUCCUGCAGCAGCCCACCCCUCCUCUCCCUCGCCCUGGGGCUGGCUGUGGCUCUCUUCCUGCAGCUGCGCUGACCCGGAGGGGACCACAGUGCACCCCGCUCCCCAGCACCCCCCGCCAAAGAAGACACCCACAGGAUGGCAACCCCCAGCACUGGCACCUCCUUGGACCCUCACAGCGCGGAGCUGUGACCAGCACGGACCACCCCACAUCCUCACACCGUGGAGGACCAGCCAGCACGCUGCCAUCACUCCCUCCGCUCAGUCCUCCUGCCUCAAAAUGCCAGAGCAGCCCCGGCUUGAAGCAAACCCCUGGGACCAGCUUGGGAGUGGGCCUGCUGUAACCCUCUAAGAAAUAAAGUGAUGCAGAGGCCUUUU